Molecule: non-coding RNA, 232 nt
Organism: Pelobates cultripes (western spadefoot toad)
Lineage: Eukaryota; Metazoa; Chordata; Amphibia; Anura; Pelobatidae
Source: the annotation of a GenBank genome assembly
UCCAAUACUUCAUUGAGAUCCGUCUCCCAUUGGUCUAUAUAUGUUAGCUGUUUGUGCUUAGGUGUAUAGAUUACUGAUCAAGCCUCUUGGGAAGUGCUCUCCGAUACACAUCUUUUUAAAAAAUGUAAGUUGCGUUAGGGCAACUUUUUUUAAUCGCGGGAGCAUGGGCAUAGUCCCUCAUUUGGACGCAGCGGAGCCCUGGCUUUCAAUUCCUCAAAUGGUAUAAAACGGC